Molecule: long non-coding RNA, 777 nt
Organism: Podarcis raffonei (Aeolian wall lizard)
Lineage: Eukaryota; Metazoa; Chordata; Lepidosauria; Squamata; Lacertidae
Exons: 3
Source: RefSeq, a predicted model, not a curated record
GAGGCUUUAAAUGAAAAUGUAGUCAAGUUUAUCUAAAUGACAGAACUGUGCGAAGCCGCCUCCUACACAAUUGCUCUUGUGACUCACUGCAUGUGCAGCACACCUCCAAUAUUUUAAUUCAGAGGCUGGGACAGAAAUGGGAGAAAGCAAACAUGUUGUCCAGUAGUUCUCCAUUAUGUCAGUAGCCCCAACUCUCAGCCUUCCCAAACUGGAACCAUGCAGUUCCUCAGGACCAGCGCAAGCCCUGAACUGGUGGGGUCAGAUCCGCAUGUAAGGCACACCAAGGUUGGUCGCACCAGUGGGACCACCAUUUUCUUUGAAGGUUUUGCCACAGAGAAGUUAAAAUGAAGGACAAAAGAAACAAAAAAAAAAUCUUCCAUCUGGGUUCACCCCCCCACACCUUGAACUUAUUCUCAGAGACCAUUAUGUCUCUAACCAUCAUUCCAACUACUCAAAAUGCUGCAAGAAGAAUCCUGUAAGAAGCCCCUCACCACGUGAAGAGUAUCAUCACAAAUCAAUACAUCGAUUUUCCAUCAAGGUUAAUGGAAGUUAUACAUGCAAGCCCAGAGAAAAAUAUGCCCCGAAUGGCUUUUGUUACAGAACUGCUACCAUCAGUUCUUGAGAGACCUUUCUUGUUAAAUUAUUCAUUUGUAGAAAUAAAACCAUGGGGAGAAAAAAACCCCAACAAUUAUUUCCCUCUAUGAACACAAAAUACAUUACUUGCUGCCUAGGUAGUUGUGUGUCUGUGUUAGGUUUGGUAAGAAAACACAUAUUACA